CAACCCUCAAGCCCCCGGGCUUGGUGUUGGGGAUCGGCGUGCCCUCGCGGCGCGCCGUCCCCUAAAUCUAGUGGCGGUCUCGCUGUAGCUUCCUCUGCGUAGUAGCAACACUCGCACUGGAUCGCAGCGCGGCCACGCCGUUAAACCCCCCACUUCUGAAA
This 161-nucleotide unclassified non-coding RNA is filed under the name Neonectria candida. Its description in RNAcentral is "partial internal transcribed spacer 2". Lineage: Eukaryota; Fungi; Ascomycota; Sordariomycetes; Hypocreales; Nectriaceae. RNAcentral also lists the same sequence under 1 other name. The record is from RNAcentral.